UACGGAGGGAGCUAGCGUUGUUCGGAAUUACUGGGCGUAAAGCGCGCGUAGGCGGCUUUGUAAGUUAGAGGUGAAAGCCCGGGGCUCAACCCCGGAAUUGCCUUUAAGACUGCAUCGCUAGAAUCCAGGAGAGGUGAGUGGAAUUCCGAGUGUAGAGGUGAGAUUCGUAGAUAUUCGGAAGAACACCAGUGGCGAAGGCGGCUCACUGGACUGGUAUUGACGCUGAGGUGCGAAAGCGUGGGGAGCAAACAGG
This 253-nucleotide ribosomal RNA is filed under the name uncultured bacterium. Its description in RNAcentral is "partial 16S ribosomal RNA". It matches the Rfam family "Bacterial small subunit ribosomal RNA", at positions 524 to 776 of the family's 1533-position model. The record is from RNAcentral.